UAAGAGUUAAGACAGCAUGACCUUCUGCC
This 29-nucleotide non-coding RNA is filed under the name Mus musculus (house mouse). The record is from RNAcentral. Lineage: Eukaryota; Metazoa; Chordata; Mammalia; Rodentia; Muridae.